This is a long non-coding RNA of Mesocricetus auratus (golden hamster), 894 nucleotides long. RefSeq lists it as uncharacterized. The record is from RefSeq and is a predicted model, not a curated record. The transcript has 2 exons. NCBI's taxonomy places the organism in Eukaryota, Metazoa, Chordata, Mammalia, Rodentia, Cricetidae.
GUCAACUCGCAAAAGAUGUCAAAUUCCUGCGCACAAUGCCUAACAGUGGGCGGGCCCCACAAAGAGUAAACCUGUUGAGGGUGGGGCUAGUAUCCAGGAAGCUCAGAGGUCACAAAGGGCGGGGCCCGUCCUGGCGAACAUAUCCAGGUGUCUGCGGGUUAAACUCCCUCGUGAUCCUUGCUGGGCUUGAGUCUAGAUGUGACUGCCAGGCCAGAACGUCUUGCCAAGGAGAUCCAGCAGCUGAGCACGUGCGGCUCUGGGUAGACGGUACUGUCCUGCAGGUCUUGAGGUCUUCAGGCCUCUGACGCUGCUGGCAGCGUCACUGUGCUGGGGCGGCGCCAGGUUUGCUCUGCGUGGUACACACUGGCAGGAACCUCCAUUUCAUGCCAUGGUGCUUCGAGGACCGUACCAGCCUUGCAGUACCACAACAUGGACUGAGCUGGAGGCAUCUAAAGGCAUCAACACAGAGCACUAACAAGAACGAUGUAACAGCUCAGCUGUUCCAUCUUAACCGCCUCCUAACAAGCAGAUCCUGGGUGCCUCUGACCAGUGACAAAAUGCCCUGCCAACCUCUACUGGAAAGACUGCUGCUGCUCUUAAAAGAGGUGGGAUGCAGAGAAAAGACACUCCGGAGUCCAUGACUUGGGAACACAAAGGCUCUUGCUAUGCUUCUUGCCUAGCAGCACUCCUCUUGUGGUGGUGGAGAUCGGGGUAAGGCCUGAUCAGAGCCAAACCAGUUCAGGGUUCUCUAGGUCACAGGGUACAAGCUACAUAGCCUGGAUUUGCCAAAAACCUCUGGCAAGGGGAGAAUGCGGAUGAGACUCUUACUGGCAGUAAUCUUCUUCCCUUCCUAUCCAGAAGACCCUCUGCUGGAAUAAACUAGCUUCUGAACUA